Molecule: transfer RNA, 87 nt
Filed under: Hafniomonas laevis
Lineage: Eukaryota; Viridiplantae; Chlorophyta; Chlorophyceae; Chlamydomonadales; Dunaliellaceae
Description: tRNA-Ser
Rfam family: tRNA
About the family: Transfer RNA (tRNA) molecules are approximately 80 nucleotides in length. Their secondary structure includes four short double-helical elements and three loops (D, anti-codon, and T loops).
Source: RNAcentral
GGAAAGGUGUCGGAGUGGUCGAUCGUGCAGACCUGGAACGUCUGUGUAGGUGAAAGCCUACCGAGGGUUCGAAUCCCUCCCUUUCCG